GAGUCUUCUUUUUGAAUGUAGUAUGUUUUUUGUUAGGUGCACACAAUUCAGCCCGCUUUUCAAGAUGGUUAUCUGGUCUACGCACCUAGUGGAGCAGGCAGGCAGUGGAUUUAUGUUACUGUUUAUUUUAUUAACCUGUUGUCAUGUUUGGGUCGCAUGUCUGUGAAGCUUUUGUUCCCUGGUACGCGAAAAGACUGCUAGGAAGCAGCGUGCAGGUUUACCUGUUCUAGAAGAAAACUCUUCUUUGGAGGUUCAGCUUCUGUCACUGCAAGAUGAGCCAAGAAGCGCUGAAGCUCCACCAAGUUUGGAAGUUGGUCAACCAAAACUUCUGUCAGGAAGCUGCGCAGCUGUCAUACAUCAUCAUUAUCAUCAUCAUCAUCCCAAACAUUCACACAAAUGCAUGAAGAAAGUGUGAGAAGACUUUACAUUGGAUUGAGAUCGAGAGGAGCCAGAUGAGGUGGUUCGGGCAUCUGGUCAGGAUGCCACCCGAACGCCUGCCUAGGAAGGUGUUUCGGGCACAUCCGACCGGUAGGAGGCCACGGGGAAGACCCAGGACACGCUGGGAAGACUAUCUCUCCCGGCUGGCCUGGGAACGCCUCAGGAUCCCCCGGGAGGAGCUGGACGAAGUGGCUGGGGAGAGGGAAGUCUGGGCUUCCCUGCUUAAGCUGCUGCCCCCGCGACCCGACCUCGGAUAAGCGGAAGAAGAUGGAUGGAUGGAUGGACUUUACAUUGGAUUGAGAUUUGGACUAUUUACAGGCUAUGACAUUAACCAUGUGUACCUUUCUUUAAGGAAGGUUUUUAAUGAACAUCCUCCAAGUCUGGUGAUUCCAUCAUUUUUGCAAGGGGUUGUAGUAUACUGAGGUGUAUUGUACUAAUAUAUUGCAAAGUACUUAAUGUACUACUGUUUUUUCCACUGA
Nerophis lumbriciformis (worm pipefish) is the source of this 917-nucleotide long non-coding RNA. RefSeq lists it as uncharacterized. The record is from RefSeq and is a predicted model, not a curated record. NCBI's taxonomy places the organism in Eukaryota, Metazoa, Chordata, Actinopteri, Syngnathiformes, Syngnathidae.